GAUGAACGCUAGCGGCAGGCUUAACACAUGCAAGUCGAGGGGCAGCACGGAAGUGGUAACACUUUUGGUGGCGACCGGCGGACGGGUGCGUAACGCGUAUGCAACCUACCGACAACAUGGGGAUAACGGAUGGAAACGUCCACUAAUACCUGAAAAUAUCAUUGGAGGCAUCUUCGUUGGUUGAAAGAAAUUUGGUUGUUGUUCGGCAUGCGUAGCAUUAGUUAGUUGGUGGGGUAACGGAUCACCAAGGCUACGAUGUUUAGGGGGACUGAGAGGUUAACCCCCCGCACUGGAGCUGGGCCACGGUCCAGACUCCUACGGGAGGCAGCAGUGAGGAAUAUUGGGCAAUGGGCGAAAGCCUGAACCAGCCAUGCCGCGGGCAGGAGGACGGCUCUAUGAGUUGUAAACUGCUUUUAUACGAGGGUAAUUGCGCGCACGUGUGCGUGUUUGAAAGUAUCGUAUGAAUAAGGAUCGGCUAACUCCGUGCCAGCCGCCGCCGUAA
This 502-nucleotide ribosomal RNA is filed under the name uncultured bacterium. RNAcentral's name for it is "partial 16S ribosomal RNA". It matches the Rfam family "Bacterial small subunit ribosomal RNA", at positions 28 to 523 of the family's 1533-position model. The record is from RNAcentral.